Molecule: transfer RNA, 64 nt
Filed under: Marmota monax (woodchuck)
Lineage: Eukaryota; Metazoa; Chordata; Mammalia; Rodentia; Sciuridae
Description: tRNA.Val
Source: RNAcentral
UGUAGCUCAGUGGUAGAGUACUUGCCUAACAUAUGUGAGGCCCUGGGUUCAAUCCCAAGUACAG